Molecule: long non-coding RNA, 523 nt
Organism: Salvia miltiorrhiza (redroot sage)
Lineage: Eukaryota; Viridiplantae; Streptophyta; Magnoliopsida; Lamiales; Lamiaceae
Exons: 3
Source: RefSeq, a predicted model, not a curated record
GCAGGCAUCAAUUUGAAUUCUCAAUUACAUGGUACCAAAUGUUUUUUUUAUUAGUGCACAAGUUUCAAUAAAGAAAGGAUGACUAAAUAUGUGUAUUAGAAUUAAGAAAAACUCAUUUCCCUUAUUUUUCCUAAGCUGUCGACUUCUCUUCCCCAAGAACAGAACCAUCUUUUUCUUCUUUCAAAUUUAAUUCCGUAAGAGAAAUUCAAGUAGUAGCUGCAAUACCUUAAAAGAAAAGGUUCAAGUGGCUUUAUAAAGUAAACAAGCAAGGAUCUCUACUUCAUUAAGCAUACCAGGUUGAGCAAUGGCUGAUGAAGAUGAAGUGAUGAGCGGAGCUUUUGUCAUAAGUUUAAUAAAUGGACUCUUGGAUACAUGUCUUCAUACAUGUAAUCAGAUUAUGUUAUUCCGCUGCAUACUCUCAAGUAAUAUGUCUUUAAGCUAAGUCGGGUUCAUCCGAACUUACGAGUUAAUCGAGUCCUUGCGACUAAACAACAGUUAUCUUAUGAUUGUCCCUCCUUAACAA